RNAcentral lists this ribosomal RNA (253 nucleotides) under uncultured bacterium. Its description in RNAcentral is "partial 16S ribosomal RNA". It matches the Rfam family "Bacterial small subunit ribosomal RNA", at positions 524 to 776 of the family's 1533-position model. The record is from RNAcentral.
AACGUAGGACGCAAGCGUUAUCCGGAAUUACUGGGCGUAAAGCGCGUGUAGGCGGGUCUGUAAGUUUGUCGUCAAAGCUCCCGGCUAAACUGGGAGAGGUCGAUGGAAACUACAGGUCUGGAGUUUGGCAGAGGAAUGUGGAAUUCCGCGUGUAGUGGUAAAAUGCGUAGAGAUGCGGGGGAACACCAGUGGCGAAGGCGGCAUUCUGGGCCACAACUGACGCUGAGACGCGAAAGCAUGGGUAGCGAACGGG